UGAGCCGGUGAGCGGGGGCCGGACGCCUGGGCCCCUCCCGGAUGCCUGGGCCCCUCCCGGACACCUGGGCCCCUGCCGGACGCCUGGGCCCUUCCUGGACACUUGGGACCUUCCCGGACGCCUGGGCCCCUCCUGCCACGUCUGCCCCCCCCCCCGGCGCUGCCCUCUGACCUUUGACCCCGGCGCCGCCAUGGUGCCCCAGGACGCCGCGACCCCCGACCCCCCCUCGGGGGAGGAAGAGGCCGAGCCGCCGCCCCGGAGCGACACCGACGCGGCCGCGCUGCAGCUGCAGGGCCUGAGCCUGCAGGACGAGGCCCCGCGCGAGGAGCAGCUGCAGCGUCGCCGCCCCGAGGCCCCGAGCGAGAGCCGGAGGCAGGAGGCCGUGGGGCAGCUGGAGGGGACCCUGCGCUGCCUCGAGGACCUCGAGUUCCUGCGGCUGGAGCGCGAGAGCCGCCGGCCGGAGCCAUCGGAGACCUCGGGGACCUCGGGGACGUCGGUGACGUUGGGGACAUCGGUGACGUCGGUGACGUCGGGGACAUCGGGGACAUCGGUGACGUCAGCGGUGGCCCCGGGCCUGGGUGGCCGCUCCCAGCACCAGGACGAGACCCUCCUGGCCCAGACGAGCCGCCCCCCCGGGGGGGCAGUGGGGAGCCCCCCCCCAACAGCAGCCAGGAGCUCACCAAGCUGCUGUUCAGGCACCGCUCGGCGCGGGAGCUCAUCGUCCUGGGCCCCGACCAGCGCGACCCGGCCUGCGUCUUCGCCCUGCGCAGCUCCGUCCAGGGCGCCUUCGGGCUGCAGCGGGCCGGGAGCCUCCCGCGGCGCCGGGGGGAGCGGGGAGCCCCCCCCCCCCGCCCGGCCCCCCGGCCCCGCUCCCACCACGGCACCGGCCUCCUGGCCCUGCCGCUGCCCCCCCCCACGGCGCUGCCCCCCGACGCCUACAGCGCCUGCCUCCACCUGGCCGAGAUGGAGCGACGGGUGCGGGAGGCCCUGGCGGAGCGGGAGCGGCUGCUGCAGGCCCGGGAGGCCCGACGAGCGGCCAAAGCGCAGCCCCCCCCGCCCCCCCCGGAGCCGCCGGCGCCCCCCGCCCCCGAGGCGGCGCUGGACCUGCGGCGGCUGUUGCGGGCGCGGGGGCACAGCCCCGAGACGUGCGGGGACGUGCGGGUGACGGCGGGCGCCUGCCGGGGGCCCCUCACCAAGAUGGGGGGUCGCAUCAAGACCUGGCGCCGACGGUGGUUCCUGCUCGACCGCCCCCGCCGACUGUUGGCCUACUACGGCGACAAGGAGGAGACGAAGCUCAAGGGCGUCAUCUACUUCCAGGCCAUCGAGGAGGUCUACUACGACCACGGGCGGGCGGCCUGCAAG
This is an RNA transcript of Dromaius novaehollandiae (emu), 1362 nucleotides long. It is a transcript of the gene named pleckstrin homology like domain family B member 3, with no coding region annotated. NCBI's taxonomy places the organism in Eukaryota, Metazoa, Chordata, Aves, Casuariiformes, Dromaiidae. The record is from RefSeq and is a predicted model, not a curated record. The transcript has 12 exons.